UUUUCCUCCGUGAAAUGCAGUAAUUGCAUACAUUUCUGCCUGUCUCUAAAGCAUAAAUGGAUUUAUACUAUAGUAUUGGUGCAGUAAUGCAAGAUAUUGGAUUACAUAUGUCAGAAAACGAACUAGUAGCCAGUUGUUGUUGCCCAUGGUGAAAUAAUAUCAAACCCACAGACUCCUGAAGCACAUAUGUCCCACACGAACUCCCGAGUCUAGUUAGCAUUUCGCUACCUAGCUAGGCUGUUUUAUGACAAAACGGAUGAUCUGAAUCAAACACUAACGACUCAGAGUGCCCUUCUUACGGAAGGAAAUGUCGACUCCCGGAACACUUAAAACAAAGUAACUGUACUACUGUAGCCAACACUCUUAUUUUCUAAGACAAGUGAAGAAACGCGUAGUUUCCACAAUGGAUCCGGCAAAUAUACUUGUAAUGGAGUCCAGACGGCAGCAUAACAUU
Molecule: long non-coding RNA, 454 nt
Organism: Oncorhynchus kisutch (coho salmon)
Lineage: Eukaryota; Metazoa; Chordata; Actinopteri; Salmoniformes; Salmonidae
Exons: 3
Source: RefSeq, a predicted model, not a curated record